Molecule: non-coding RNA, 546 nt
Organism: Choloepus didactylus (southern two-toed sloth)
Lineage: Eukaryota; Metazoa; Chordata; Mammalia; Pilosa; Megalonychidae
Source: the annotation of a RefSeq genome assembly
UGUUUCUAGAAAAGACCUGCAGGAAAGAGCCUUCUGUUUUCCCUUAGCUGGGACAUGAAGCCAACCAACAUCUCAGUGCUUGUGAUGAUCUUCACCCUCAGAGGAAUGUUGGCCCAGACAGUGACUCAACCUGAGGACCUCGUCUCUGUUUUUGAAGGGGAUCCUGUGCAGUUGAGGUGCAACUACUCAUAUUCUGGAAGUCCUGUUCUCUCCUGGUAUGUCCAGUAUCCCAGACAAAGCCUCCAGUUACUCCUGAGACACAUCUCAGGAGAGAGAAUCAGAGGUUUCAUGGCUGACCUUGACAAGGGCAAGGCGUCCUUCCACCUUAAGAAGCCCGCAGCUCAUGAGGAAGAUUCAGCCAUGUAUUACUGUGCUCUGAGUGGCACAGUAACUGGUGUUGCAUGGGAAGUACAAUACAAACCCUUUAGGGGUUGCAGAAAAUGUUUUUUUAUAAGCCUCUAUCAGGCUACAGUGCAGUAUUCCUUUCUCUAGAGACUGAUACUGAAUUUGUCUCUUAGACACAAUAUUUUCAGUUGUCAACAAGCU